This is a long non-coding RNA of Cynoglossus semilaevis (tongue sole), 429 nucleotides long. RefSeq lists it as uncharacterized. The record is from RefSeq and is a predicted model, not a curated record. NCBI's taxonomy places the organism in Eukaryota, Metazoa, Chordata, Actinopteri, Pleuronectiformes, Cynoglossidae. The transcript has 3 exons.
CUGUUUCUGUCUGGCUUCAGAAAACUCUGGUCCUGGUCAUGGAGGCUGUUGGGAUCAUGGACGUCCACUGGGCUUCUGGCAGAUGAACUUCAGCGGUGUAAAGCAGCACAAGUCAUUGAAACCAUUGGUGAUCAGGACACAGACCACUGGUAAAGACCAUGAAACCAGUCUAAUGCAGCAAGGAGAUGGUUGAAGAGUUCUGUUCUCAAAGAAAGUUGCCUAACAGAACUCUUCAACCUUGACUAUGACCUGGAUGACUGAGAAUCAAUUCAUAGGCAGUAAGGAGAUGACUUGUUCCAGGUCAGAGGAAAUUUGCUAAAGAAGUAACAGCUGAACCCUGAGUGUGUCCAAUUGUUAGGACAACAACCGUCCACUGCUGAGUCUGGGACACAGAUGAGAAGCAGAAACCAGGACAGGCCUGUUGUUAGC